AGAAGCGAAUAAGGGCGCUUGGAGGAUGCCUAGGCGACAAGAGCCGAAGAAGGGCGCGGUACACUGCGAAAAGCCUCGGUAAGCCGUGUGCAGGCGAAGAGCCGGGGGUACCCGAAUGGGGAAACCCCCCUGGAGAGGUCCAGGGACCCAGCACUGAACACAUAGGUGCUGAGGAGGGAACGCGGGGAACUGAAACAUCUUAGUACCCGCAGGAGAAGAGAAGAUUCCCCGAGUAGUGGCGAGCGAAAGGGGAGCAGCCCAAACCCGACCUGUGGAAUAGCCUGUCAGCGUUGCAGGGCGGGGGUAGUAGGAGCUGGGGGCGUCGUGACAGCGACGCACAGGAGUGAGAAAGGGAGCGGCUAAUCGAAGGACACUGGAAAGGUCCGCCAGAGACGGUGACAGCCCGGUAGAUGAAAGCGGGUCCCCUCCUGCCAGGAUCCUGAGUACCACGGGGCACGAGGAACCUUGUGGGAAGCAGGGCCGACCACGGCCCAAGGCUAAAUACUCUUGACGACCGAUAGAGAACCAGUACCGUGAGGGAAAGGUGAAAAGAACCCCGGUGAGGGGAGUGAAAGAGAAUCUGAAACCAAGCGUCUACAAGCGGUCGGAGCACGAUACCCCAUAGGGGUUAGUGCGACGGCGUGCCUUUUGGAGAAUGAACCAGCGAGUUACUCUUGGUUGCGAGGUUAAGGCAGAGACAGCCGGAGCCGUAGGGAAACCGAGUCUGAAUAGGGCGCGGGCCAUAGCGAUAUGGUCGAAGUAGUCAGGAGUAGACACGAAACCAGGUGAGCUACCCAUGUCCAGGCUGAAGCGAGGCUAAACCCUCGUGGAGGGCCGAACCUUUCACCGUUGCAAAGGUGUGGGAUGAGGUGUGGGUAGGGGUGAUAUGCCAAACGAACCUGGAGAUAGCUUGUUCUCCCCGAAAUAGCUUUAGGGCUAGCCUCGCGGGAUGAAUGUUGGAGGUAGAGCACUGGAUGGGCUAGGGGGCGCAAGCCUACCGAACCCAACCAAACUCCGAAUGCCAACAUUAGAGAACGCGGGAGUCGGACGGCGAAUGAUGAGAUCCGUCGUCGAGAGGGAAAGAACCCAGACCGUCGGCUAAGGUCCCGAAGUGCCAGCUAAGUGGGAAACGUUGUGGGAUUGCCGAGACAGCCAGGAGGUUGGCUUAGAAGCAGCCACCCUUUAAAGAGUGCGUAAUAGCUCACUGGUCGAGGGGUCCUGCGCGGAAAAUAUAACGGGGCUCAAGCUGGUCACCGAAGCCGCGGGGGUGCACGUGAGUGCAUCUGGUAGGGGAGCGUUGUGUACGUGAUGAAGCUGUACCGGAAGGAGCAGUGGAGUGUACAGAAGUGAGAAUGCUGGUAUGAGUAGCGAAAAAUAUGUGAGAACCAUAUUCACCGAAAGCCCAAGGAUUCCGACGGAAGGCCAGUCCGCGUCGGGUUAGUCGGGCCUAAGCCGAGGCCGGCAGGCGUAGGCGAUGGACAUCCGGUUAAUAUUCCGGAACCACAGCGCGAGAGUGAAGGGGUGACGCAAUGCGGGAAGUCAACCUGGAGGAUGGCAGAGCCAGGCCAAACGUGUAGGCCGUAGAGGGGGGUAGGGAAAACCGCUCCCGGAGGUCGAGGCGUGAAGGGGAGCCGCAAGGCGGAAGUGACCGUACCGGGUUGCCGAGAAAAGCCUCUAAACGGUGAAGGCGCUGUGCCCGUACCGCAAACCGACACAGGUGGGUGGGUAGAGAAUACCAAGGUGAACGAGGAAACCUUCGUCAAGGAAUUAGGCAAAUUAACCCCGUAACUUCGGGAGAAGGGGUGCCCCUGAUCGUGAAGGAUGCACAUUUGGAGCGAUUGGGGGUCGCAGUGAAAGGGCUCUAGCGACUGGUUACCAAAACCACAGGUCUCUGCGAACGCGCAAGCGGAAGUAUAGGGGCUGACACCUGCCCAGUGCCGGAAGGUUAAGGGGAGGGGUUAGGCGCAAGCCGAAGCUCAGAACCGAAGCCCCGGUGAACGGCGGCCGUAACUAUAACGGUCCUAAGGUAGCGAAAUUCCUUGUCGGGUAAGUUCCGACCCG
Molecule: ribosomal RNA, 2061 nt
Filed under: bioreactor metagenome
Description: bacterial LSU rRNA
Rfam family: Bacterial large subunit ribosomal RNA
Source: RNAcentral